GACGAACGCUGGCGGCGUGCUUAACACAUGCAAGUCGAACGGAAAGGCCCUGCUUUUGUGGGGUGCUCGAGUGGCGAACGGGUGAGUAACACGUGAGUAACCUGCCCUUGACUUUGGGAUAACUUCAGGAAACUGGGGCAAACACCGGAUAGGAGCUCCUGCUGCAUGGUGGGGGUUGGAAAGUUUCGGCGGUUGGGGAUGGACUCGCGGCUUAUCAGCUUGUUGGUGGGGUAGUGGCUUACCAAGGCUUUGACGGGUAGCCGGCCUGAGAGGGUGACCGGCCACAUUGGGACUGAGAUACGGCCCAGACUCCUACGGGAGGCAGCAGUGGGGAAUAUUGCACAAUGGGCGGAAGCCUGAUGCAGCAACGCCGCGUGCGGGAUGACGGCCUUCGGGUUGUAAACCGCUUUCGCCUGUGACGAAGCGUGAGUGACGGUAAUGGGUAAAGAAGCACCGGCUAACUACGUG
RNAcentral lists this ribosomal RNA (468 nucleotides) under uncultured bacterium. Its description in RNAcentral is "partial 16S ribosomal RNA". It matches the Rfam family "Bacterial small subunit ribosomal RNA", at positions 28 to 507 of the family's 1533-position model. The record is from RNAcentral.